Molecule: ribosomal RNA, 169 nt
Filed under: uncultured bacterium
Lineage: Bacteria
Description: partial 16S ribosomal RNA
Rfam family: Bacterial small subunit ribosomal RNA
Source: RNAcentral
UCGCUAGUAAUCGCGAAUCAGAAUGUCGCGGUGAAUACGUUCCCGGGUCUUGUACACACCGCCCGUCACACCAUGGGAGUCGGGAAUGCCCGAAGUCAGUGACCCAACCAUAUGGAGGGAGCUGCCGAAGGCAGGUCUGAUAACUGGGGUGAAGUCGUAACAAGGUACC